Non-coding RNA from Lonchura striata (white-rumped munia), 505 nucleotides. NCBI's taxonomy places the organism in Eukaryota, Metazoa, Chordata, Aves, Passeriformes, Estrildidae. The record is from RefSeq and is a predicted model, not a curated record.
UAUUUGCUGUUUGCUGUGAGCCCCUUGGCUGGCUUAGUUUUUUCAUCAUUAAAAAGUAAAGCAGCAUUGUGUGACCUCAUCUGGAAAGACACAGACUCUCAAGGCAGAAAGGAACCUCAGACAUGACAGCAAUGAAGACCAUGUUACUGCAGCUCCUGGAUGGAAGAGAAAGGCAAUUCGAAAAUAGCUCUGCUGGGAGAAGUGCAAUACAAGUUACCCAACACAUAGAGGGAAAUGAGGCAUCUUGAAGAAAAAGAACAGACAAAUAGCCUAUCUCCAUGCAUAUCUCCUCUCAGUCCCUGAAGAAUGACUUUUCCUCUUUACUGGGACCUGGAAACACCAAGGAACACCAAGAGCCUGUGUUUUGUGAUCUGCAGCAGCCAUUCCCAGUGCCCAGAGCAAUCCCCAGCGUCCAGACCCGGGCGACCACUCCCAGGAAAGGCUUUCUGGAUUUGUUCAUCUCUUCAGAGUGGUGAAAGAGUUUUGUUGUCAUCUGGUGUUGUUA